UACUAGACAGUAUAUUGGGUAUUUUUAUAGCGAGUCUGUCUCCCGUGUUUGUUGUUCCUUAUUGGACCUGUAGUCAUUUGACCCUUACAUUUUAAGUUGUUACUCAUUUCAGAUUUAGACAUCUUGCGGUCUUAGGUUGUUUUGUAUGUUGGCUUAAUUGAUAAUGAUCCUUAAACUUUGCAGUUUCAACCUAACAAUGAAAAGUUUCUCAAACCUAUAUGUGUUAAUUACCAAGUAUCCUCUAACUGCAUCUAUGAUCAGAGAGGAACUUAAACACAAAAAUGAUGGCAGUAUGAAUCUCUUAUUAUGAGCUUGGUGCUACAAAGUCGAAGGAGUGUUCAUCUUUUGUUUCAAAAUUAAGGAAAUUGUAAUCAUCAUUUUUUUAAGAAAUGAUUAGUUUGUAUUUUUAAUCUUUUUGUUCCUGUAAAGAUUGUCUUUUUUAAAGAAAUGAUGUAAAUUGAUCUAUGUGAUAUAAUAAAACUUGAUUUA
Long non-coding RNA from Papaver somniferum (opium poppy), 489 nucleotides. RefSeq lists it as uncharacterized. Lineage: Eukaryota; Viridiplantae; Streptophyta; Magnoliopsida; Ranunculales; Papaveraceae. The transcript is spliced from 2 exons. The record is from RefSeq and is a predicted model, not a curated record.